GACACCUUCCGCUCUCUCCCUUGCAUCAGUCUCAGAGGCUUUAUAAAGUAUCACCAAAUUGCCCUUUCCUCUGAUCUUCGUACACACAAACAUACACAUACAUACAUAGAUAUAUACACGUACACGCUAAUAUACAUAUCCUCUAGUGCGCAUGUGUGGCUAUGGGUUUGUACAUGAUAUAUGUGUCCCCCCAUUAUUGUGAUAUUAUGUCUAUUUAGAACAGGCUGCAGCUGAAAGUGCCUCAGUUGGUAGGGAAUCAGUUGUCCUUUAUUAAACAUUCAAUCCUUAUGGCUCAGAGCUCCCAUAGACCUUUCACGUGAACUUACACAUGUUCAUAGCAAGUGAAAUUAAAUCUUAAAGUAGAAGGUUAUUUGAAAUUAAAAACGAAAUAAGAUCCACAAGUUAGCUUAUAAGGCCAGUCAACUGGAUUUUCAAGGUUUUUUUUUUGUUUUAGUAUUUAAUGAUAUUUUAACCGUUGAAAAACGCAAAGCAUUUUGGGUGAUUCGAAAACACCGGAAGUGAACAAUUUUCGGUCCCUAAUGAAUGAGAAGUGAUAUAUUUUCCUGUGGCUGCUGACCUUUUUUUGAUCCAGUUGUUAUGUUAUUCAUUGACUGAGCAGUCUCCUGGGAGAAGAUGGUAACAGUAAUGAUAACAAUAAUCAGGUAUACUGUAUUUGAUGGAAAGGAACAUGGGUUCGAUUCGCGACCAUGGAAUUAAAAACAUGGACGAACCCAAGAAAACUACUCACUUCCGCCAGUUAUCAUAAAUAAAUACCAUUUCCAUGAUUCUCAUAGCAGUCUUUUACCAAAUUUACCCGAUCCAGGUUGUAGUCGACAUUUCACCUCCAAAUGUCCCAAGAUAAGAAAAAGCACCACCAGCUUCCUAGCCUACCUACAGUUAUAAGGUCAUCCACUCUACAUGUUUUACUUUGUAUGUAGACACGUCACCUCUUUCUAUAAAGGGGCCAUGAUAAAUUUUCAGUUCUUAAAAUAAAAUGUUUUUCAUGUGUCCAUU
Molecule: long non-coding RNA, 1014 nt
Organism: Octopus bimaculoides (California two-spot octopus)
Lineage: Eukaryota; Metazoa; Mollusca; Cephalopoda; Octopoda; Octopodidae
Source: RefSeq, a predicted model, not a curated record